UGUAGACCUGUUUUUCUUCCCCAUUCUGAAAGCUGCUCACUAUUACGUGCUGUGUGUCAACAUGCGGAAGCGCAGGUUUGAAAUCAUUGACAACUCCCCGGUAGCUGGUAAAAACGAGGAUAGAUAUGGCUCCAUUCCACAAGAAUUGCUCGAUAUGCUAUCAGCAUAUCUUCAUAACAAAGGGCAGGGUUUACGGUCAGCUUUUGUUGACAACAUGAAGGCUAUAAGGAUGCAGAUGCC
This is a long non-coding RNA of Ipomoea nil (Japanese morning glory), 240 nucleotides long. RefSeq lists it as uncharacterized. Lineage: Eukaryota; Viridiplantae; Streptophyta; Magnoliopsida; Solanales; Convolvulaceae. The record is from RefSeq and is a predicted model, not a curated record. The transcript is spliced from 3 exons.